ACGAUCGGAAAUGUGUGUCCAAGCAGCAAGUCUGAGAACGAGUGAAAUGCUUUUUCUCUCAAGGACAAGCUGUGAUGGGGAGCGAAAUUUAGUAGCGAAGUUCCUGAUGUCACACUGCCAAGAAAAGCUACUAGUGAGAAAGUAACUGCCCGUACCGCAAACCGACACAGGUAGUUGAGGAGAGAAUCCUAAGGUGUGCGAGAGAACUCUCGUUAAGGAACUCGGCAAAAUGACCCCGUAACUUCGGGAGAAGGGGUGCUGACCGCAAGGUCAGCCGCAGUGAAUAGGCCCAAGCGACUGUUUAUCAAAAACACAGGUCUCUGCAAAAUCGAAAGAUGACGUAUAGGGGCUGACGCCUGCCCGGUGCUGGAAGGUUAAGAGGAGAGGUUAGCGCAAGCGAAGCUUUGAAUUGAAGCCCCAGUAAACGGCGGCCGUAACGAUAACGGUCCUAAGGUAGCGAAAUUCCUUGUCGGGUAAGUUCCGACCCGCACGAAAGGCGUAACGAUUUGGGCACUGUCUCAACGAGAGACUCGGUGAAAUUAUAGUACCAGUGAAGAUGCUGGUUACCCGCGACAGGACGGAAAGACCCCAUGGAGCUUUACUGCAGUUUGAUAUUGCGUGUUUGUAUCACAUGUACAGGAUAGGUAGGAGCCGAAGAUACCGGGACGCCAGUCUCGGAGGAGGCAACGGUGGGAUACUACCCUUGUGAUAUGACCACUCUAACCCGCUGCUCUUAGCGAGCAGGGAGACAGUGUCAGACGGGCAGUUUGACUGGGGCGGUCGCCUCCAAAAAUGUAACGGAGGCGCCCAAAGGUUCCCUCAGAAUGGUUGGAAAUCAUUCGUAGAGUGUAAAGGCAGAAGGGAGCUUGACUGCGAGACCUACAAGUCGAGCAGGGACGAAAGUCGGGCUUAGUGAUCCGGUGGUUCCGCAUGGAAGGGCCAUCGCUCAACGGAUAAAAGCUACCCUGGGGAUAACAGGCUUAUCUCCCCCAAGAGUUCACAUCGACGGGGAGGUUUGGCACCUCGAUGUCGGCUCAUCGCAUCCUGGGGCUGUAGUCGGUCCCAAGGGUUGGGCUGUUCGCCCAUUAAAGCGGUACGCGAGCUGGGUUCAGAACGUCGUGAGACAGUUCGGUCCCUAUCCGUCGCGGGCGUUGGAAAUUUGAGAGGAGCUGUCCUUAGUACGAGAGGACCGGAAUGGACACACCGCUGGUGUACCAGUUGUUCUGCCAAGAGCAUCGCUGGGUAGCUAUGUGUGGACGGGAUAAACGCUGAAAGCAUCUAAGCGUGAAGCCCCCCUCAAGAUGAGAUUUCCCAUCACUUUAAGUGAGUAAGACCCCUGAGAGAUGAUCAGGUAGAUAGGUUGGGAGUGGAAGUACAGCGAUGUAUGGAGCGGACCAAUACUAAUCGGUCGAGGACUUAACC
RNAcentral lists this ribosomal RNA (1422 nucleotides) under metagenome. Its description in RNAcentral is "bacterial LSU rRNA". It matches the Rfam family "Bacterial large subunit ribosomal RNA", at positions 1494 to 2925 of the family's 2925-position model. The record is from RNAcentral.